Molecule: non-coding RNA, 45 nt
Filed under: Schistosoma margrebowiei
Lineage: Eukaryota; Metazoa; Platyhelminthes; Trematoda; Strigeidida; Schistosomatidae
Source: RNAcentral
AUCCAGUUGAAGAGUCCCAAAUAGGAUGAAACACUCAUCCUGUAU